Mytilus californianus (California mussel) is the source of this 278-nucleotide long non-coding RNA. RefSeq lists it as uncharacterized. The record is from RefSeq and is a predicted model, not a curated record. The transcript is spliced from 2 exons. NCBI's taxonomy places the organism in Eukaryota, Metazoa, Mollusca, Bivalvia, Mytilida, Mytilidae.
AAACGCUCCGCUGGGCGCAGCUUGAUACGACCGCAGAGGUCGAACCCUGAACAGUUGGGGCAAGCAUGGACACAACAUUCAAGCUUGAUACAGCACUGAAUUUGGAUUGUAAUUAAAUAUUUGACACAGCAUAAGUUUCUGACACAGAAUGAAUGUGGUCUUAGAACUUAAAAUUUUUUAAUUUACCUAUUCAAUAUUCAUAUCAUUAUUAUUUGCUUUUAUAUAUAAAUCAGAAAUAUCCAAUUUAAAGUGGAAAAUUUUAAAGAAAAAAAAGGAAA